CAAAUCAUAUCAUUCUGCUCCUGGCCCCUCCAAAUCUCAUGUCCUCACAUUUCAAAACCAAUCACGCCUUCCUAACAGUCCCCCAAAGUCUUAACUCUUUUCAGCAUUAACCCAAAGUCCACAGUACAAAGUCUCAUCUGAGACAAGGCAAGUCCCUUCCACCUAUUAGCCUGUAAAAUCAAAAGCAAGCUAGUUACUUCCUAGAUACAACAGGGGUACAGCUAUUCCAAAUGGGAGAAAUUGGCCAAAAUAAAGGGGUUACAGGGCCCAUGCAAGUCCGAAAUCCAGCAGGGCAGUCAAAUUUUAAAGUUGCAAAAUAAUCUCUUUUGACUCCAGGUCUCACAUCCAGGUCAUGCUGAUGCAAGAAGUGGGUUCCCAUGGUCUUGGGCAGCUCUGCCCCUGUGUCUUUGCAGGGUACAGCCUCCCUCCUGACUGCUUUCACGGCUGGUGUUGAGUGCCCGCAGCUUUUCCAGGCACACGGUGCAAGCUGUUGGUGGAUCUAACAUUCUGGGGUCUGGAGGACAGUGUCCCUCGUCUCACAGCUCCACUAGGCAGUGCCCCAGUAGGGACUCUGUGUGGGGGCCCUGACACCACAUUUCCCUUGUGCACUGCCCUAGCAGAGGUUCUCCAUGAGGGCCCCUCCCCUGCAGCAAACUUUUGCUUGGGCAUCCAGGCAUUUCCAUACAUCUUCUGAAAACUAGGCGGAGGUUUCCAAAUCUCAAUUCUCGACUUCUGUGCAUAUGCAGGCUUAACACCACGUGGAAGCUGCCAAGGCUUAGGAGUUGGGUGAGGCCUGCCAGGCAAAGGGGCCCUGGGGGUCCGAGGCAGGCAGGUCAGCUGAGCAGGGCUUCAGGGUGCAGAGGGAGGGGCAAGACACAGGCCCAGGCAGGGAGUGGGGGCAAGAAAAGAGUAGGAGGGAAGAAAGGUGGGGGACUCUCCAGACAGCAGAGGAGUGAGUUGGGAGAGCUGGGAGUGAGGGUUAAAAUGACAGCAAAUGCAGGCCUCAUCUGGUCUAUAAACAAAUAAAAUUGGAGCCACAGGGGGACCCAAACAAUGUCCUGGAGACAGAACAAGUUGCCACACGCCCUGAGUGAGGCUGGACGAGGGUGGGCUUGAGAGCUGCUCCUAUUAGACGCCUCACUGGGCCACAGUGUCAGAGACUCAGAAAUGUGGUCAGUUCCAAACUCAUGGGCUGCCUGGAGUUGGGGAUGCUGGAAACGGGAGAUAAGGACCUCCUCAAACUCGGGCAGUCUCUGACCUUCAGUGAGAACUCGGGAGUCUGCGGGGACUCUGUCCAGGAGGCACACAGGGAGCUUGGCCUAGAAGGCCAGAAAUAGGGGCUCCAAGUCUGGCCCUGCUCCUGCCCGUGAGGGACCUUGGGUAGUUCACAGCCUGUCUAAGCCUCAUUGGUGACAUGUGCACUAUAACUAUUGCUAUUAUCAGAAUUAUUCUCAUCAGUGGAGAGCCUUCUGGGGAGCCCUGCUCAGGCAUCUGGGCUCCUCCUGGCUUCUGUGGGCAGGACCGCCCCUGACACCCCUGCCUACAGCAGGGCUUCUCAGCCUUGGCACUGGUGACAUUUUGAGCUAGAGGCUUCUUUGUUUUGGAGGCUGUCCUUUGCAUUUCAGGAAGCAGAAUCCCCAGCUUCUACCCAUUA
Molecule: long non-coding RNA, 1654 nt
Organism: Papio anubis (olive baboon)
Lineage: Eukaryota; Metazoa; Chordata; Mammalia; Primates; Cercopithecidae
Source: Ensembl